Molecule: ribosomal RNA, 1485 nt
Filed under: Clostridiales bacterium canine oral taxon 386
Lineage: Bacteria; Bacillati; Bacillota; Clostridia; Eubacteriales
Description: 16S ribosomal RNA
Rfam family: Bacterial small subunit ribosomal RNA
Source: RNAcentral
GAGUUUGAUUCUGGCUCAGGACGAACGCUGGCGGCGUGCCUAAUACAUGCAAGUCGAGCGGGAGUUAUUUAAGAAGUGAUUCGUCAUGGAAGGAAUAACUUUAGCGGCGGACGGGUGAGUAACGCGUGAGCAAUCUGGCCUAUACAGGGGGAUAACACAGGGAAACUCGUACUAAUACCGCAUAAUUUCUGGGGACCGCAUGGUUUUUGGAGGAAAGUGGAAACACGGUAAAGGGGGAGCUCGCGUUCUAUUAGAUAGUUGGUGAGGUAAAGGCUCACCAAGUCUACGAUAGAUAGCCGACCUAAGAGGGUGAUCGGCCACACUGGAACUGAGACACGGUCCAGACUUCUACGGAAGGCAGCAGUAGGGAAUAUUGGGCAAUGGAGGAAACUCUGACCCAGCAACGCGGCGUGAAGGAAGAAGGUUUUCGGAUUGUAAACUUCUAUCCUUGGUGAAGAUAAUGACGGUAGCCAAGAAGGAAGCCCCGGCUAACUACGUGCCAGCAGCCGCGGUAAUACGUAGGGGGCAAGCGUUGUCCGGAAUGAUUGGGCGUAAAGGGCUCGUAGGCGGCUAGACAAGUCUGGAGUGAAAGUCCUGCUUUUAAGGUGGGAAUUGCUUUGGAAACUGUAUAGCUUGAGUGUAGGAGAGGUUAGUGGAAUUCCUAGUGUAGCGGUGAAAUGCGUAGAGAUUAGGAGGAACACCAGUGGCGAAGGCGACUAACUGGACUAUAACUGACGCUGAGGAGCGAAAGUGUGGGUAGCAAACAGGAUUAGAUACCCUGGUAGUCCACGCCGUAAACGAUGAGUACUAGGUGUCGGGAGGAAUCUCGGUGCCGAAGUUAACACAUUAAGUACUCCGCCUGGGGAGUACGCUCGCAAGAGUAAAACUCAAAGGAAUUGACGGGGACCCGCACAAGCAGCGGAGCAUGUGGUUUAAUUCGAAGCAACGCGAAGAACCUUACCUAAACUUGACAUACCGAUGCCGAUUCGGUAAUGCGAAUUUUCCUUUCGGGGACAUUGGAUACAGGUGGUGCAUGGUUGUCGUCAGCUCGUGUCGUGAGAUGUUAGGUUAAGUCCCGCAACGAGCGCAACCCUUGUCAAUAGUUGCCAGCAUAUAAGGUGGGGACUCUAUUGAGACAGCUAAGGACAACUUAGAGGAAGGUGGGGAUGACGUCAAAUCAUCAUGCCCCUUAUGUUUAGGGCUACACACGUGCUACAAUGGUCAUUACAGAGGGAAGCGAGAUUGUGAAAUGGAGCAAACCCCAAAAAGAUGAUCUAAGUUCGGAUUGUAGGCUGAAACUCGCCUACAUGAAGUUGGAGUUGCUGGUAAUCGCAAAUCAGAAUGUUGCGGUGAAUGCGUUCCCGGGUCUUGUACACACCGCCCGUCACACCAUGGGAGUUCGGGGGGCCCAAAGUCAGUGAGCAAACCGCGAGGGUGCAGCUGCCUAAGGCAAAACGAAUGACUGGGGCUAAGUCGUAACAAGGU